This 420-nucleotide long non-coding RNA is filed under the name Brassica napus (rape). Its description in RNAcentral is "long non-coding RNA (BNAP_LNC007487)". The record is from RNAcentral. Lineage: Eukaryota; Viridiplantae; Streptophyta; Magnoliopsida; Brassicales; Brassicaceae.
GGAACUAAUCUACUAAAAUGAACUAAAAUUUAGUAAACUAUAUACAAAAAGAAAACUGCAAGAACAUUUUUAAAUUAUUACUAAACAAACUAAAUCGGUCUACUAUAUAAACAAAAACUAAAAUUAAAUAUUUAUUUUAUUGCAUUAAAAUUUUAUAGAAAAUAAUUACGUAUUUUAAAAGUACAGAUCAAAAUCUAAUAUUAAUUUACAUUUAAGUUUUAGAUAUUCUAUGGCGAGUUGUGCUAAUGGAUCCUUCUGCAGAUAUUGUAUAGAGAUUCGUGACCGAGUAGAUACAAUAAAUUGUUAAACGAAAGAGGGUACGGUUAAAGCUGUUUGGAAUCAUUUUGGCCUCAAUAGAUUCCCUCUGCCACUAAGUCUGAAUGUUUUGGAAAGACACUUCCACUCUAUUGUAUUAUUCGC